This 438-nucleotide long non-coding RNA is filed under the name Anser cygnoides (Swan goose). RNAcentral's name for it is "lncRNA (ENSACDG00005003492.1)". The record is from RNAcentral. Lineage: Eukaryota; Metazoa; Chordata; Aves; Anseriformes; Anatidae.
AUGGCUGCAGCUGGAGUAGGAAGGGUAUAUUUAAUGCAAUGCAAUCACUUUCCAAUCUAUUUAAAGAGGAUUAUCAUUGUUUCUUAUCAGUCAGCAGGAAGAGGGGAAGAAAGGACACCAGCACUUUCUGAAAUAGAGCAGAAAAUUGGGGUCGUUCUCUUCUUACUGUCCUGUCCUGCUCAACAGUUCACACUCAAACAAGCAGAAGUGUUCAUAUUUCUGGAACCUACUCAGCAUUUCAGAUUUUUGGAUGAUGAAAGAGGAGAAAAAGCUUCAGUUGGCACUUACAUUUUUGACAUUGAAGCUACUCACAUAGGUUUUACAGUGAACAUAAUAAAUACUAUCCUGAUUGUCAUAACUCUGAGACUCAAACUGGAGUGCCUUUGUGAUGGGAAAGCCCAGCUGGUGAAGCUCAGGCAAGCCUCAUACAAUUACUGA